Molecule: ribosomal RNA, 550 nt
Filed under: uncultured archaeon
Lineage: Archaea
Description: bacterial SSU rRNA
Rfam family: Archaeal small subunit ribosomal RNA
Source: RNAcentral
ACCUUCAUGCCCAGGGGACGUGGAUAACCUCGGGAAACUCCUAUUAAACCGCGAUAGGUCAAGAUUUCUGGAAUGGAUCCUGGCUUAAAUCUACAUGGCCCCUGGAUUGGACUGCGGCCGAUCAGGCUGUUGGUGAGGUAAUGGCCCACCAAACCUAUAACCGGUACGGGCUCUGAGAGGAGAAGCCCGGAGAUGGGCACUGAGACAAGGGCCCAGGCCCUAUGGGGCGCAGCAGGCGCGAAAACUCUGCAAUGGGCGAAAGCCUGACAGGGUUACUCUGAGUGAUUUCCGCUAAGGAGAUCUUUUGGCAGCUCUAAAAAUGGUGCAGAAUAAGGGGUGGGCAAGUCUGGUGUCAGCCGCCGCGGUAAUACCAGCACCCCGAGUGGUCGGGACGAUUAUUGGGCCUAAAGCAUCCGUAGCCGGUUGUGCAAGUCCUCCGUUAAAUCCAGCCGCUCAACGGAUGGGCUGCGGAGGAUACUACAGAACUAAGAGGCGGGAGAGGCAAGCGGUACUUAGUGGGUAGGGGUAAAAUCCUUUGAUCCAUUGUAGC